GACGAACGCUGGCGGCGUGCCUAAUACAUGCAAGUAGAACGCUGAAGAGAGGAGCUUGCUCUUCUUGGAUGAGUUGCGAACGGGUGAGUAACGCGUAGGUAACCUGCCUUGUAGCGGGGGAUAACUAUUGGAAACGAUAGCUAAUACCGCAUAACAAUGGAUGACACAUGUCAUUUAUUUGAAAGGGGCAAUUGCUCCACUACAAGAUGGACCUGCGUUGUAUUAGCUAGUAGGUGAGGUAAUGGCUCACCUAGGCGACGAUACAUAGCCGACCUGAGAGGGUGAUCGGCCACACUGGGACUGAGACACGGCCCAGACUCCUACGGGAGGCAGCAGUAGGGAAUCUUCGGCAAUGGGGGCAACCCUGACCGAGCAACGCCGCGUGAGUGAAGAAGGUUUUCGGAUCGUAAAGCUCUGUUGUAAGUCAAGAACGGGUGUGAGAGUGGAAAGUUCACACUGUGACGGUAGCUUACCAGAAAGGGACGGCUAACUACGUGCCAGCAGCCGCGGUAAUACGUAGGUCCCGAGCGUUGUCCGGAUUUAUUGGGCGUAAAGCGAGCGCAGGCGGUUUGAUAAGUCUGAAGUUAAAGGCUGUGGCUCAACCAUAGUUCGCUUUGGAAACUGUCAAACUUGAGUGCAGAAGGGGAGAGUGGAAUUCCAUGUGUAGCGGUGAAAUGCGUAGAUAUAUGGAGGAACACCGGUGGCGAAAGCGGCUCUCUGGUCUGUAACUGACGCUGAGGCUCGAAAGCGUGGGGAGCGAACAGGAUUAGAUACCCUGGUAGUCCACGCCGUAAACGAUGAGUGCUAGGUGUUGGAUCCUUUCCGGGAUUCAGUGCCGCAGCUAACGCAUUAAGCACUCCGCCUGGGGAGUACGACCGCAAGGUUGAAACUCAAAGGAAUUGACGGGGGCCCGCACAAGCGGUGGAGCAUGUGGUUUAAUUCGAAGCAACGCGAAGAACCUUACCAGGUCUUGACAUCCCGAUGCUAUUUCUAGAGAUAGAAAGUUACUUCGGUACAUCGGUGACAGGUGGUGCAUGGUUGUCGUCAGCUCGUGUCGUGAGAUGUCGGGUUAAGUCCCGCAACGAGCGCAACCCCUAUUGUUAGUUGCCAUCAUUCAGUUGGGCACUCUAGCGAGACUGCCGGUAAUAAACCGGAGGAAGGUGGGGAUGACGUCAAAUCAUCAUGCCCCUUAUGACCUGGGCUACACACGUGCUACAAUGGUUGGUACAACGAGUUGCGAGUCGGUGACGGCGAGCUAAUCUCUUAAAGCCAAUCUCAGUUCGGAUUGUAGGCUGCAACUCGCCUACAUGAAGUCGGAAUCGCUAGUAAUCGCGGAUCAGCACGCCGCGGUGAAUACGUUCCCGGGCCU
Molecule: ribosomal RNA, 1369 nt
Filed under: uncultured bacterium
Lineage: Bacteria
Description: bacterial SSU rRNA
Rfam family: Bacterial small subunit ribosomal RNA
Source: RNAcentral